RNAcentral lists this ribosomal RNA (254 nucleotides) under uncultured bacterium. RNAcentral describes it as "partial 16S ribosomal RNA". It matches the Rfam family "Bacterial small subunit ribosomal RNA", at positions 524 to 776 of the family's 1533-position model. The record is from RNAcentral.
UACGUAGGGUGCAAGCGUUAAUCGGAAUUACUGGGCGUAAAGCGUGCGCAGGCGGUUGUGCAAGACAGAUGUGAAAUCCCCGGGCUCAACCUGGGAAUUGCAUUUGUGACUGCACGGCUAGAGUGUGUCAGAGGGGGGUAGAAUUCCACGUGUAGCAGUGAAAUGCGUAGAGAUGAUGGAGGAAUACCGAUGGCGAAGGCAGCCCCCUGGGAUAACACUGACGCUCAUGCACGAAAGCGUGGGGAGCAAACAGG